Long non-coding RNA from Cygnus olor (mute swan), 2542 nucleotides. RefSeq lists it as uncharacterized. The transcript has 3 exons. NCBI's taxonomy places the organism in Eukaryota, Metazoa, Chordata, Aves, Anseriformes, Anatidae. The record is from RefSeq and is a predicted model, not a curated record.
UGCAAUUGGAAGGAGCAGAGGUCUGAAACAGAGGACAGAGAGCCAGGGUGUUCUUUUUUUUUUAUAGCUACUUCUCUUGUUUAAGCAAAAUUGCAGCCUGAGGCACGAUAACAGAGCUAUCCAUACAGGCAGUGUCAGUAUUUUUAUGCCGACGACAAAAAUCUCCUGAACUAUUUACUCUUGAGAAGCCAACACCUCUCCCAAAUACAGCAUUGCUGUGGUCGAUGUAUUCGUCUUCCAGACACCUGAAUAUGGAGAGGAAUGCAAAACACACAAGAAAAAGCAGAACCUGUCAGUCACCCCUUGGCGGCUGCCGACAUCUGAAAGGAUGGACGCAGAAUUCAAGCGCAGCCAUCUUCAUCCAGUCGCUCGUGUGCACAAUUUAGAGGAGCUACAUGCUGGACCUGACCUGGCCCUACACAGGGACUUGGGGCUUGCUGGCUCUGGCUCUGCACAAGCAGGGCUGAUGCUGAGCAGGGUAUGCCCUGGUGGCAAGGGGCUGCUAGCAAUGCUUCUCACCUGUCUGUCCCCAGCUUGUCACACAAAGGUCUUGCAGCCCCCCUGUGACCCUACUAGCACCCUCUUCCCUAUCUGUCUCCUUCAGAAUGAGCAAUGAAUUGCCCUGCACACACUGUCGUGGUCCUGACCCAUACCACAGACAGCAGCAAGCACCCAUCAAUCCACUGGAGUCAUUUUAGACUGCUUAUAUUCAUUUGUUUCAUUAUGCUGUUAUGGCUCUCAUCAGACACAGUGCUAAUUAACUCAAUCCCAUCCUACCAAGUCCUGGCUUCCACAUCAUCUCCAGGGUUUCUAGUCCAGGGAGCUGUAACAGAUCAUUUAUCCCAGGAGGCUUAAAUGGAUGCUUUUCCAUGGCGGAGCUUUAGGCAGAGAGACUCAUGAUUGCAGGGGUGUGUUCAAGUCUAAUUCUGUGUGUAGCAUCAAAAUUUGUAUAGAUUUUAAAUAAUUCAUCACUGGGCUUCAGUAUAUUUAGUCACUCAAAUUAGGAAUCAGGAAUUUUGCUCUGCGGAGAGCUAGCGUGUGUGUCAUUGUCAGAGGUUAGCUCUGCUGCCUGUCUCCAUGCAGAAGAGUUCAGAGAAAUUAAGUCAGAGGAAGUGACUGGCAGUAGAAGAUGCAGGAAAAUGUGUGACACGCAGUGCUGUGAGAGCCUCAGCAGCAGUGCAAUGGGUGAUACUGGUACGUGGUCUAGUGGUAUGUGCGUUGCUGAGGUACUGGAAGACCAUAAGCAUGGUUUAGGUGAGGUCUUUGGGCUCCAACCCAUGAGCCGCCGGCAUAUGGGACUGUCCCCAUCCGUUGCCCCUUGUUUUGUCUGUGGAUUGCAAACCAUGGGGGGCAGAGAGAUGCUCUUGUGCUUUUCUGUGUUCUGCCUGUGACUGUAAAAACAGGCAGCACGGAUGCUCGUACCCAUUAGCAGAUGCGGCAGCUGUGGUGGGCUCCCAGUCACAGCUGGUAGAGACCCGAAAUUUGGCAGAUUCCCAAACCCCCUGCAGCAGUGCUGACUUUCAUUGCAAAGGGAUGGUUUAGAAACACAGACCCACAGCUUCAUUUAGUAGCUGUGUGGUUUCUGGAGCUGUCUCUCCCCCUUUCUUGACCCAAAGGAAAUACUUGAUAAAGUGCUCCAGCACCGGUGGAUUGGGAGGGGUCUGUGCACAGCAUCUCACAGAUGAUGAGAUCUGCCUAACGCGUCAAAAGCUAUCCCAGCUGUGAAGUGUGCUGGAGACUCCUGUCCGAGUGACAGUCUAUUGAUGGGAAACACUGCUGUUCGGGAGGGGGUUGAUUCUGCAAGGCCUCAACACCUAUCCACCUCGACAGGAGCAGAAAGCUCUCAGCAUCUCUCCUAGGAUCGCAGAUCGCUGCACAAGGUUGAAGCCCUUUGUCUCCCUCUUGUUUUUAUGCAUUACAGUCACAUUAUAAAGAAGUCCUGCAGAACAUUCAAUUACUUACUGCACAAUUAUAAUCAUAUUUGUAUACCUAUAAGUAGGUCACCAGUCUCUUAGGUUAAUCAAUUAUAAUGGCAUUCACACUGGUUUCUUUCAUAAAUCACUGGCUUUUAGUGUAUCCACUGAGAUAAUGGAGGAAAACCAUCUAAUUUUGAUCUAACUAGAAUGAAAUGUGAACGUGCAUAAUUUGCUCUUACAAAGUGUAUCUAAUGUUCUCUACAUCUGUAUUUAUUUGUGCUGUUUCAUGCUGCAUAUCGCUUAAGUGGCAAAAAAAAUACAGAGACUGUUGCACUUAAAGCUAAAUGACCCAGAGUAAUACAAUUUAUCUGCAUUUAUUUUACAUUGUUCAUCAUGACAGAUAUUUUAAUAACCCACUUCUGAUGGCUGAUGCACUGAUUACAAAUCACACUGAAAUCUGAGGCAAGCUUGUUUGGUGUGAUGCAAAGACAUUUGGCAGAGCUGUUUUGCCAUGUAAACUAAGCAGUUAAAUGGGUAGGGAGGACUUUACUCAGGCUGGAGGCUGCGAAUGCUUUAGGGCAUGGUGGGAUGCCACCACAUAGCGAGCAUCUGCUGAGCCCCGGACA